Molecule: long non-coding RNA, 1391 nt
Organism: Astatotilapia calliptera (eastern happy)
Lineage: Eukaryota; Metazoa; Chordata; Actinopteri; Cichliformes; Cichlidae
Source: Ensembl
GCUGCAGUAUCACACCCAUAUAUAUGUACAUAUACAUAUACAUACAUCACUAGCUAAACAUACACAUGGUAGACUAUUCAUUAACUCUUAAUGUCUUUUGUGUCUUUUGAUAAAUGCUGAAUGAUGCAUUCUGUGCUGCGUCUUUAAGUGCAGAAUAGCUUCAGACUUAUAACCAGUGUAUCCAGGACCUCAGUGUGCAAAAUGAUGGUCUGAUAUUGCACUAUACUGUAGCACCACCUUGUGGUUGAAAUAAGUGUGUUUCAAGAAACUCAAAAUUUAAUUCCUAAUGCUGGGCUUACACUGUGCGAUUUUUUCUCGUUGACUCGCAGGGGUUAGAAUUUCAUAGGUCACGAUGCAGGUCUCACACUAUACGGCCCGAUGCUCUGAUGCGACCUGAGUGCUCACACUGUGCGUCCAUAAAAUGAAGGUUAUAACAGAAAUUCUGUCGCUCUCUCCCUCUCCGUCUUUCACUCACACAGACACACCACCACCAUCAACUUUGCUAAAUUGCUAAUGAAAAACAUUGAUCAGGCAGCUGUGAUUGAGCAGCAGUGUAGAUCCAACUAUUUUCAAGGUUGUUGUGUCGUGAUAAUUUUGUGAGGCCACAUCGAAAAGGCUCGGAUGAGCUUUCCAAAGUUCUACAAGUUGUGCCUCCAUCGCUUGUGUCCAGAUCACACGCUGCACUGCCGUGCUGCGCCGUCUUUUUCGCUGACAUUUGUGUUUGCGCGUGCGCAGUGUGACAAACUGCGGUGACACCCUCACGACGGUCGCGAGGAUUUCAAACAGGUUUGAAAUCCUCCCGACCAAGGUUUGAAAUCCUCCCGACCAAGCGAUUGAUGAUCGGGAGCUCGUCGUGAGGUGUUAAUCGCGUCUCGUUACCCCACGUAUACUACACGAUGCACGACGCACGAUGAAGGCCAAAAUCGGGCCGAUCGCCAAAACGGUCGCACGACUCAAAAAUCGGCUCAAAAUGGGCCAAAAAUCGCACAGCAUUAGUAUGAACUUAAACACUGCAGGUUGUUAUGAUUGCAUAUUCACCUAUGGAAUACCUCUGCAUUUUCUCUCUGAAACAUUUGCAAACUUACGUGAAAGUAAGUCCAGAAUUCUUGAAGGACGUUCCAAAGAUCUUCUUUAAAUGGUGGCUGCUUUUUGUCCUGCUUUGUGUCAAGAUGAUCCCACAUGACAUCAAUAACCCUGAGAGCUAAUUGUUUUACUAAUAACUCUAUGGAUAUCACCUUGUUCUUCCAAAAAUACUACUUUAUGCUUGUCAAAGGUCACAUCAUUCACUGCAGCUAAAGGAAAAAAAGUAACAACUCAUUCGCUUGAGUGGGAUUCGGGGUCAAAUUUAGGAACAGGGGGAAUACACCUAAAGUCUGCUUUCUGCUUCAGUU